Molecule: ribosomal RNA, 504 nt
Filed under: uncultured bacterium
Lineage: Bacteria
Description: partial 16S ribosomal RNA
Rfam family: Bacterial small subunit ribosomal RNA
Source: RNAcentral
GAUGAACGCUAGCGGCAGGCUUAAUACAUGCAAGUCGAGGGGCAGCAGCUUUAUAGCAAUAUAGAGGCUGGCGACCGGCAAACGGGUGCGGAACACGUACACAACCUUCCUUUAAGAGGGGGAUAGCCCAUAGAAAUGUGGAUUAAUACCCCGUAACAUAUCGGUGUGGCAUCACACUGUUAUUAUAGUCUCGACGCUUGAAGAUGGGUGUGCGGCUGAUUAGGUAGUUGGCGGGGUAAAGGCCCACCAAGCCUUCGAUCAGUAGCGGAUGUGAGAGCAUGAUCAGCCACACGGGCACUGAGACACGGGCCCGACUCCUACGGGAGGCAGCAGUAAGGAAUAUUGGUCAAUGGACGCAAGUCUGAACCAGCCAUGCCGCGUGAAGGAUGAAGGUCCUCUGGAUUGUAAACUUCUUUUAUAGGGGGCGAAAAAAGGGAAUUCUUUCUCACUUGACAGUACCCUAUGAAUAAGCACCGGCUAACUCUGUGCCAGCAGCCGCCGUAA